Molecule: ribosomal RNA, 449 nt
Filed under: uncultured bacterium
Lineage: Bacteria
Description: bacterial SSU rRNA
Rfam family: Bacterial small subunit ribosomal RNA
Source: RNAcentral
GUCCAGACUCCUACGGGAGGCAGCAGUGGGGAAUAUUGGGCAAUGGGCGCAAGCCUGACCCAGCAACGCCGCGUGAAGGAAGAAGGCUUUCGGGUUGUAAACUUCUUUUCUCAGGGACGAAGCAAGUGACGGUACCUGACUAAGAAGCCCCGGCUAACUACGUGCCAGCAGCCGCGGUAAUACGUAGGGGGCAAGCGUUAUCCGGAUUUACUGGGUGUAAAGGGAGCGUAGACGGCAAUACAAGUCGGAAGUGAAAUACCCGGGCUUAACCUGGGAACUGCUUUGGAAACUGUAUGGCUGGAGUGCUGGAGAGGUAAGCGGAAUUCCUAGUGUAGCGGUGAAAUGCGUAGAUAUUAGGAGGAACACCAGUGGCGAAGGCGGCCUGCUGGACUGCAACUGACGUUGAGGCUCGAAGGCGUGGGGAGCAAACAGGAUUAGAUACCCGAGUA